UGACGUCACAACAACGAAACGUAAACAAACAGGUGGAGAUGGAGGUGGGCCCUCUUCCCCGCAGAUUUAAGAACAGACGGACAGAGAGUCUGAUGGCCCACUACUGGACGGGUAAUUAUCAAAGAAAAAUGUCAAGGUUAUAUCUGAAAACACAAGACUGUCACGGUGCCUCCGGCUGCUACCUCCCCCUCCCCAUCACCUCAUCACCUGGCAGACCUUCUUAAGGAGAUCCAUCCCAGCAUACUUCGCCAGUCCGUUAUACUCACUCCGGUCAUCUCCUCUCUGGUCACGCUGGUUCCUUGCUCUGUUCCUGUUACGCCGUCCUCGGCGUUUCCCCUCGCCCCAAGCUGGUCCCGCCGUCCUCGGCGCUCCACCUCGUCUCAGGCUGUUUACACCGUCCUCGGUGCUCCAUCUCGCCGCCAGCAGUUCCAUCAUCCACGACGUCCGCUCCGUCUCAAGUUGGUUUCGCCGUCCUCGGCUCAGACUACGUUGGAUUGCUCACGGACCCUGACUCUGGCCCUUCGAUCCUGGACCGGCUCUAACAUUAAACAUCUUGAUUCUA
This is a long non-coding RNA of Oryzias latipes (Japanese medaka), 562 nucleotides long. RefSeq lists it as uncharacterized. Lineage: Eukaryota; Metazoa; Chordata; Actinopteri; Beloniformes; Adrianichthyidae. The record is from RefSeq and is a predicted model, not a curated record.